RNAcentral lists this ribosomal RNA (429 nucleotides) under Chloroflexota bacterium. RNAcentral's name for it is "Chloroflexi bacterium partial 16S ribosomal RNA". It matches the Rfam family "Bacterial small subunit ribosomal RNA", at positions 355 to 776 of the family's 1533-position model. Lineage: Bacteria; Bacillati; Chloroflexota. The record is from RNAcentral.
UGGGGAAUAUUGCACAAUGGGCGCAAGCCUGAUGCAGCCAUGCCGCGUGUGUGAAGAAGGCCUUCGGGUUGUAAAGCACUUUCAGCGGGGAGGAAGGCGUUAAGGUUAAUAACCUUGGCGAUUGACGUUACCCGCAGAAGAAGCACCGGCUAACUCCGUGCCAGCAGCCGCGGUAAUACGGAGGGUGCAAGCGUUAAUCGGAAUUACUGGGCGUAAAGCGCACGCAGGCGGUCUGUCAAGUCGGAUGUGAAAUCCCCGGGCUCAACCUGGGAACUGCAUUCGAAACUGGCAGGCUAGAGUCUUGUAGAGGGGGGUAGAAUUCCAGGUGUAGCGGUGAAAUGCGUAGAGAUCUGGAGGAAUACCGGUGGCGAUGGCGGCCCCCUGGACAAAGACUGACGCUCAGGUGCGAAAGCGUGGGGAGCAAACAGG